This 195-nucleotide unclassified non-coding RNA is filed under the name plant metagenome. RNAcentral's name for it is "partial contains small subunit ribosomal RNA, internal transcribed spacer 1, and 5.8S ribosomal RNA". The record is from RNAcentral.
UUUCCGUAGGUGAACCUGCGGAAGGAUCAUUACCGAGCUCAUGCCCCCCGGGGUAGACCUCCACCCGUGUGUAUCUCCUAGUGUUGCUUUGGCGGUUGCCCCCAACCGCCAGAGGCCGAAACCCUGAUAGUUAGCGUUGUCCGAGUACCAUAUAAUAAUAAGUUAAAACUUUCAACAACGGAUCUCUUGGUUCUG